GCGAAAGUGGCGGAACUGGUAGACGCGCUGGAUUUAGGAUCCAGUGCCCUCGGGCGUGGGGGUUCGAAUCCCCCCUUUCGCA
This 82-nucleotide transfer RNA is filed under the name Betaproteobacteria bacterium. RNAcentral describes it as "tRNA-Leu". It matches the Rfam family "tRNA". Rfam says of the family: Transfer RNA (tRNA) molecules are approximately 80 nucleotides in length. Their secondary structure includes four short double-helical elements and three loops (D, anti-codon, and T loops). Lineage: Bacteria; Pseudomonadati; Pseudomonadota; Betaproteobacteria. The record is from RNAcentral.